UAUGGCUCAGUGGUAGAGUGCUUGCCUAGUAUGCAUGAAGCUCUGGGUUCAAUUCCUCAGUA
RNAcentral lists this transfer RNA (62 nucleotides) under Dipodomys ordii (Ord's kangaroo rat). It matches the Rfam family "tRNA", at positions 6 to 65 of the family's 71-position model. From Rfam's summary of the family: Transfer RNA (tRNA) molecules are approximately 80 nucleotides in length. Their secondary structure includes four short double-helical elements and three loops (D, anti-codon, and T loops). The record is from Rfam by way of RNAcentral. Lineage: Eukaryota; Metazoa; Chordata; Mammalia; Rodentia; Heteromyidae.